AGCGAACGUUUGCGGCGGGCCUAACACAUGCAAGUCGAACGCACUAGCAAUAGUGAGUGGCGCACGGGUGCGUAACACGUGGGUAAUCAACCCUUCAGCCUGGGAUAACGACUCGAAAGGGUCGCUAAUACCGGAUACGGCGCGAGAGGCUUCGGCUUCUCACGAGAAAGCCACGCAAGGGGCACUGAAGGACGAGCCUGCGGCCCAUCAGCUAGUUGGUGAGGUAAGAGCUCACCAAGGCUAAGACGGGUAGCUGGUCUGAGAGGAUGAUCAGCCACACUGGAACUGAGACACGGUCCAGACUCCUACGGGAGGCAGCAGUGGGGAAUAUUGCGCAAUGGGCGAAAGCCUGACGCAGCCACGCCGCGUGAGCGAUGAAGGCCUUGGUCGUAAGACUCUGUGGGAGGAGACGAAGAAAGACCUGUGAAGAGCAGGCCUGACGGUAGUCUCCUUACGCAAGCACCGGCGUAACUACCGUGCCACG
RNAcentral lists this ribosomal RNA (484 nucleotides) under uncultured bacterium. Its description in RNAcentral is "bacterial SSU rRNA". It matches the Rfam family "Bacterial small subunit ribosomal RNA", at positions 29 to 512 of the family's 1533-position model. The record is from RNAcentral.